This 69-nucleotide transfer RNA is filed under the name Ictidomys tridecemlineatus (thirteen-lined ground squirrel). RNAcentral's name for it is "Spermophilus tridecemlineatus (thirteen-lined ground squirrel) tRNA". It matches the Rfam family "tRNA". Rfam says of the family: Transfer RNA (tRNA) molecules are approximately 80 nucleotides in length. Their secondary structure includes four short double-helical elements and three loops (D, anti-codon, and T loops). Lineage: Eukaryota; Metazoa; Chordata; Mammalia; Rodentia; Sciuridae. The record is from Rfam by way of RNAcentral.
GGGGUUGUGGCUCAGCGGUAGAGCGCUCGCCUUACAAGCACGAGGCCCUGGGUUUGAUCCUCAGCACCA